RNAcentral lists this ribosomal RNA (432 nucleotides) under uncultured archaeon. Its description in RNAcentral is "bacterial SSU rRNA". It matches the Rfam family "Archaeal small subunit ribosomal RNA", at positions 19 to 458 of the family's 1478-position model. The record is from RNAcentral.
GGACCCGACUGCUAUCAGAGUGAGAUUAAGCCAUGCGAGUUAACGUAGCAAUACGUGGCGCACGGCUCAGUAACACGUAGUCAACAUGCCCAGAGGACGUGGAUAACCUCGGGAAACUGAGUUUAAACCGCGAUAAGUGAGGAUUUUUGGAAUGGUUCCUGACUAAAAUCUAUAUGGCCUCUGGAUUGGACUGCGGCCGAUCAGGCUGUUGGUGAGGUAAUGGCCCACCCAACCUGUAACCGGUACGGGCUUUGAGAGGAGGAGCCCGGAGAUGGGCACUGAGACAAGGGCCCCGGCCCUUUGGGGCGCAGCCGGCGGGAAACCUCUGCAAUAGGGGAAAGCCUGACAGGGUUACUUUGAGUGACUUUCGCUUAGAAAGUUUUUUGGCACCCCUUAAAAAGGGGCAGAAUAAGGGGUGGGCAAGUUUGGUGU